GCCUGGGUAGCUCAGUUGGUUAGAACCUACUGCUGACAAUGCCAAGGUUGCAGGUUCGAUUCCCGUAUGGGACA
Molecule: non-coding RNA, 74 nt
Organism: Podarcis lilfordi (Lilford's wall lizard)
Lineage: Eukaryota; Metazoa; Chordata; Lepidosauria; Squamata; Lacertidae
Source: the annotation of a GenBank genome assembly